CCCGAUGGCGGCCGGGCUGGGGCCGCGGCUGCUGGCCUUGGCCUUGGCCUUGGGGCCGGCCGGUGUUUGGGCUGAAUUGAGUCUGGUGGAGUCUGGUGGAGGUCUGCGAGCACCUGGAGAGUCCGUGCAUCUCUCCUGCCAGGGAUCCGGAUUCAGCUUCAAAGAUUAUUCUGUCUUGUGGUACCGUCAGGCACCCGGUGGCAGUCUCGAGUGGGUGUCCUACAUCAGCCAGCCAUCUGGUACUACAAAGCAAUAUGGGGCUGCAGUAGAAGGUCGAGCCACAGCCUCCCGGGACAAUUCACGGGCCGAGUCAUCUCUCUCCCUCCACCAACUGCAUGUGGGGGACUCAGCCCGCUAUUUCUGUGCUGUUCGCACAGGGUCAGGAAAUCCAGCAGAGCUUUAACAAAAACCCUUUUCCAGGGCAUGUCGAAAACUGUGUGAGCUGCAGGGCUGGUCUCGACUGUGUCAGCUGUAGACUACUCCCAGCGAGCAAAGGUGCAUCACUGUAUACCACAGAUGGCCCCAUCCUUUCUGCAAGAGUUCCUUUCUUUUAAUCACCCCUUUCUGCUAAGUCAACAACUAAGGCCAACUGCAUCCUGGGCUGCAUUAAAAGAGGAGUGGCCAUCAGGUCGAGGGAGAUGAUUGUCUCCCUCUAAUCUGCCCUUGUGACACCCCACUUGGAGUACUGUGUCCAGGUCUGGAGCCCCCAGCACAAGAAGGAUGUUGAUCUGUUAGAGCGGGUCCAGAGGAGUGUCACAAAGACGAUCAAAGGUCUGGAGUACCUCUCAUAUGAAAAAAGGCUGCUAGAUCUGGGGCUGUUCAGCUUACAGAAGCGAAGGCUCUGGGGUACCAUCAUUGCAACCUUUCAGUAUUUGAAGGGGACUUGUAGAAGGAAUGGAGAGCAACUCUUUGCUUGUUUGGAUGUUGACAGGAUGAGGGGGAAUGGUUUUAAACUAAAAGAGGGGAGAUUUAGAUGAGGGGUUGGGAGGGCCCAGGUGGGGCACCACUUUCUUCAGUCAGAGGGUGGUGAGGCACUGGAACAUGUUGCCCAGAGAGGUUGUGGAUGCC
This is a non-coding RNA of Cygnus atratus (black swan), 1068 nucleotides long. NCBI's taxonomy places the organism in Eukaryota, Metazoa, Chordata, Aves, Anseriformes, Anatidae. The record is from the annotation of a RefSeq genome assembly.